This 504-nucleotide ribosomal RNA is filed under the name uncultured bacterium. Its description in RNAcentral is "bacterial SSU rRNA". It matches the Rfam family "Bacterial small subunit ribosomal RNA", at positions 29 to 523 of the family's 1533-position model. The record is from RNAcentral.
AGUGAACGCUGGCGGCAGGCCUAAUACAUGCAAGUCGAACGGCAGCACAGCAGAGCUUGCUCUGUGGGUGACGAGUGGCGGACGGGUGAGGAAUACGUGGGAAUCUGCCCAGUCGUGGGGGAUAACGUAGGGAAACUUACGCUAAUACCGCAUGCGCCCUUCGGGGGAAAGCCGGGGACCUUCGGGCCUGGCGCGAUUGGAUGAGCCCACGUCGGAUUAGCUAGUUGGCGGGGUAAAGGCCCACCAAGGCGACGAUCCGUAGCUGGUCUGAGAGGAUGAUCAGCCACACUGGAACUGAGACACGGUCCAGACUCCUACGGGAGGCAGCAGUAGGGAAUAUUGGACAAUGGGCGCAAGCCUGAUCCAGCCAUGCCGCGUGAGUGAAGAAGGCCCUCGGGUUGUAAAGCUCUUUGUCCGGAAAGAAAGCGCCGGGUUAGUACCCUGGUGUCCUGACGGUACCGGAAGAAUAAGCACCGGCUAACUUCGUGCCAGCAGCCGCGGUAU